GAUGAACGCUGGCGGUAUGCUUAAUACAUGCAAGUCGAACGGACUCUUCGGAGUUAUUGGCGGACGGGUGGGUAACGCGUGAGAAUCUGGCAUUGGGUUCGGGACAACCACUUGAAACGGUGGCUAAUAUCGGAUGUGCAUAGUGGUAAAAGAGAAAUUGCCUGCAGGUGGGGUCGGGUCUGAUUAGCUAGUUGGAGAGGUAAAUGCUCACCAAGGCAGCGAUCAGUAGCAGGUCUGAGAGGAUGACCGGCCACCCCGGGACUGAGACACGGCCCAGACUCCUCCGCGAGGCAGCAGUGGAGAAUGAUCCGCAAAGGGCGAGAGAGUGACGGAGCCAUACCGCGUGAGGAAAGAAGUCUCUAGGGUAGAACACCUAUUUGCUUAGGGGAGAACGAAAUGACGGUACCUGAGGAAUCAGCACCGGCUAACUCCGUG
This 435-nucleotide ribosomal RNA is filed under the name uncultured bacterium. Its description in RNAcentral is "partial 16S ribosomal RNA". It matches the Rfam family "Bacterial small subunit ribosomal RNA", at positions 28 to 507 of the family's 1533-position model. The record is from RNAcentral.